UAAAAGUGGAUACGGUCAGCACCGGUGCCAAAAAUAGGAGCAAAAGCAGAAACAACACCUUCUAGUAUGGAGUAGAUGGAGUAACAGUAGGAGCCCUAUUGGCCCAAGAAGCGUCUUUAGAGGGGCACUCAUGCUACGUGAUCCCAAUCUGACCAUAACUAAAAUAUUUAUUCCUCCCUUUCCCACUCUGACUAUGAUGACUCUAACCAUAGAAUCUACAAGGCGGGUGAGGUAGGGCAAACUGGGCACCACUAGUCUAGAAAUUGGCACCCUAUACCUUGAACCCAACACUAAACUAAGACCGAUAAUUACUCACCAACUUUGGGUAAGGAGAGUGAACACUAUUUGAGUAGAACUCCCC
This 361-nucleotide long non-coding RNA is filed under the name Capsicum annuum. RNAcentral's name for it is "long non-coding RNA (CANN_LNC005171)". Lineage: Eukaryota; Viridiplantae; Streptophyta; Magnoliopsida; Solanales; Solanaceae. The record is from RNAcentral.